CCUCCCCCGCGGGUGCUACAGGUCGAAGUUAAAACAAAUCAUUAGGCUUCCAAAUCUGUAACCCUCCACUGGCCAUGCCCCCAGUUACUUCUCUGUGACAGUCUGAAUGUUUUACUAUCUGGUUUUCUAUUGUAGUACCCUGUAUGUCCACUAUGUGUCGCUACUGAAUCCAGAGCUUAUAAAAUGUUUUUCGCUAUUCAUGCUACAGUGACGAUAAACAGCACUUAUCUCCCAUAUCAUAACAUAUUUUACUAAAUUAAUGUUUAUCUGAAAAAUGCACAUUUUCUUUUCUAAAUGAGAAUACCAUGUUCAUCACUAAGGCUCUUCUGAUUUUCAGACACAACGUCCUCUUCCAUUUUUCAUCCACCCGAACAUGAACUGGUGGAGCUCUACAGCACUGAUGAUGUCAGCAGUCCUCCCACAGCCAUCACUACUGAGCCAUUUGCUAACAUGAACAGAACUCACAGAACCACUAAACCCUCCAGAACCUCCAACAUCCACAGUUCACCAUCUGAAACCGUUUUGACUCAUGUGAAUACCACCAGACCACCAGAUUUGCAUCCAGAUGCUUCAUCUUCAGUCACACAGCUAUCACUCUCACCCAGUCCAGCAGUGCUCACCACUGACCAAUCAGACAAGCCAGACAGAACAUCAGAAAUAAGACAGCCACAGCUCAAGAUAGAAGCAGCAUCAGUGCAGUCAGAAGGGCCCAACACAUCGGCCUCUCCACAUGAAAACCAGCAGAAUUCAACAUGGAGGAGAACCAUACGUCUGAUUUUCCCUACAGGUCCUCCGCUGACGAGCAUGGGCGAAACAAAGAUGGCCACAGUUCCAUCUGGUUACUUGUCUGGAGCUGCUGUUUCUGAGUCAACAACACCUCAAUCUUCUGAUAAGGACAUAUAUACCUCAGCUCCCCCUGCUGUAGAUGACCCAUCUGUCAAGUCUCACCUCAAACCUGCAAGAAGAAUUAUGACAGAGACAGGCACAUCACCACUCACACAUGCUUCCACAGGGGCAGUAACACCUACUAUUACACCCACGGUAACAUAUGCUACUACACCUGCAGCAUCAUUUGCUAUACCUGCAGAAACCACUACUGCAAUACCUGCUACGGCACCUGCAGAAACACUUUCUUCUACAUCUGUAGCAAUGGUUUCUACUACACCCACGAUAACCCAUACUGCACCCACAGUAAAUACUGCACCCACAGUAACACCUACUGGUACAUCCACAGUAACACAUACUACACCCACAGUAGCACCUGCUACUACACCCACAGUAACACAUACCACACCCACAGUAACACCUGUUACUACACCCACAGUAACACCUGUUACUACACCCACAGUAACACCUGCUACUAUACCCACAGUAACACCUGCUACUACACCUGCAGUAACACCUGUUACUACACCCACAGUAACACCUGCUACUACACCCACAGUAACACCUGCUACUACACCCACAGUAACACCUGCUACUACACCCACAGUAACACCUGCUGGUACAUUCACAGUAACAUCUGCUACUACACCCACAGUAACACCUACUGGUACAUCCACAGUAACACAUACUACACCUAAAGUAACAUCCACUGUAACACCUGCUACUACACCCACAGUAACAUAUACCACACCCACAGUAACACCUGCUACUACACCUGCAGUAACACCUGUUACUACACCCACAGUAACACCUGCUACUACACCCACAGUAACACCUGCUACUACACCCACAGUAACACCUGCUGGUACAUUCACAGUAACAUCUGCUACUACACCCACAGUAACACCUACUGCUUCACCUACAGUAACACAUACUACACCUAAAGUAACAAUAGUUACUACAUCCACAGUAACAAUGGCUACUACACCCACAGUAACACCUACUACUACACCCACAGUAACACUAGCUACUAUAUCCUCUGUAACAUCUGCUACUACACCCACAGUAACGCCUACUACUACACCCUCAAUAACACCUGCUACUACACCCACAGUAAAGCCUACUACUACACCCAGAGUAACACCUGCUACUACACUCACAGUAACACCUGCUACUACACCCACAGUAACACCUACUACACCCACAGUAACACCUGCUACUACAUCCACAGUAACACCUGGUACUACACCAACAGUAACACCUGCUACUACACCCACAGUAACACCUACAUUAACACCUACUACACUCAUAGUAACACCUGCUACAUCACAGACAGUAACACCUGCUACUACACCUGCUGCAAAACCUGCUACUGCACCUUCCAUAACACCAGCUAAUAGACCUGCUAUUACACUGACAACAGUACCUACAACCCCUACUACACCUACAGCAACCACUCCCUCAGCAGGUUGGAUGACUACUGUCAAAACUACACCACUGUACCCUGCCAGCAUCUCCACCAGAACCUCAAGCAGAACCGUUUCACCUGCUGCUCGCUCCACCACACCUGUCCAGACUGUGGUGAGGCCCAGAUGUUCUGUAAAGCUGACAGAGAUCAGGUCCAGCUCAGACUCAGCAGUGGUUCGACUCACUGCUGCUUGUUUGUCACCGAACCUCAUCGUUGUCCCAACCACUGGCUUCCGGUCGAAUGCUGUCCACUGCACCCCAGAGGGACAUGCUGAAUCUGUAUUCAUCUGUAAAGUGACAGAGCUAGAACCAGGAACGUUAAACCAGCUGAUGGUGAUCUCUAAGAAGGAUGGAGAGAAGAGCUUUGGCGUAGUGCGUUCAGGUAAGGACUCAUCCGCAUGA
RNAcentral lists this long non-coding RNA (2754 nucleotides) under Nothobranchius furzeri (turquoise killifish). RNAcentral's name for it is "lncRNA (ENSNFUG00015017760.1)". Lineage: Eukaryota; Metazoa; Chordata; Actinopteri; Cyprinodontiformes; Nothobranchiidae. The record is from RNAcentral.